CGAGCACAUACAAUUGAAACUCCCUUUAACGGAUUUCCUUCCGUCUCUAUAAAUACCACAUCUCCUUCCCGCUUAAUCAAUUUUCAAUAUUCUCACGAAGAAAACACUCGGAUUUUCGGAGAGAGCCAUCGAGAGCGAUUGAAGCGAAAUUUCAAGGGUUUCGUUGGUAGAUUUGAUCUUAGGUCUUUGAAGAUGCAGAAACUAGGGCUUCCAAGCAUGAAAAGCUUGGAUCGUUUCAAAACCUUAUCAUCCGUCUCCGGAGCCCCGAAAACCUUCUCACUCUCUUCGCGUCCACCUCCCGAUUCAAUUUCUUUGGGAAGUUUCACGAAUUUGAAACUAACUGCAGAGAAACUUGUUAAAGAGCAAGCUUCUGUGAAGACCGAUCUGGAAAUGGCGAAUUCUAAGCUGAAGAAAUCAAUGGAACAUAUUAGUGUAUUAGAGGAAAAGUUGCAGAAUGCUUUCAACGAGAAUGCUAAACUCAAAGUAAAGCAAAAGGAAGAUGAGAAGCUCUGGAAAGGUCUGGAGUCUAAAUUUUCUUCAACUAAGACUCUUUGUGAUCAACUCACUGAAACAUUACAGCAUUUGGCCAGUCAGGUUCAGAAGGCUGAGAAAGAUAAGGAGUUUUUUGAAGGUAAACUAUCUCAAAGCUCAAAAGCAAUAGACUCAUUGAAUGAGCAUAUGGAUGGCCUUUCUUUGAAGUUAAGUUCUGCAGAGGAAACAAUCAGAAACCGUAGAAAGGAAAUAGAAGAACUCAAAUUUGAGAAAGAGGAAAAUGAUAGGUUUUACAAUGAUGAACAGUGCAAAACCACGAAUCUCAUAGAGGAAAAAGAUGCUCUGAUAAAGAAAUUUGAAGCAACUGUGGCAAUGAAUAAACAGGCUGCAGAGAGUUUAAACUCCAAAAUCGGGGAAGUUCAGCUUGAGUUAAGAUCAAAAGAAGAUGAGAUAAAAUGUUUGCUAACCACUCAGGAGAACUUGGAGAAAAGGAAAAGUGAUCUUUUGUUGAGUAAUAAUGAAUUUGCUAAAAAGCUAUCGAUAUCUCUCCUUGAGAUUAAACAUCUUGAAGGUUUUGUUGCUGUGUUGGCUGUGCAGUUGGUUGAACUGGAUAAACAAAAUCUGACUUUUACAGACAAGUUCGAUGAACUAAAUUCUCUCUAUGACACUUGCUUUCACUUAGUCCAACAGGAGAGAGAUCUUGCAGUUAAGCAUUCUCAAAAGAAGUACGAACAACUCCAUGAUAGAUUUUUGUACAUAACAUCAGAAAGGGAUGCAUUACAAUUGGUUAACCAGGAGUUAAAAAGUAAGAUCAUUGAACUUCAGAAAGCCCAAGAGUCUGUUAUGGCCCAGCUUUCAGAAGAAUGCAAUUUAGCUGGAGAGAGAAUCCAGAAGUUGGAGUCAGAAGCAGAAAGUCUGGUCUCAAAGAAGAUUGAAACAGAAAAGUUAGUUUCAAAACUGGAGGAAAAGAUUGACACGCUGUCUGAAAGUUUGAGAUCAUCUGAAAAUAAAAUGCAAGAUCUAUUGCUGAAAAUGUCAGCUUUGGAAAUGGAGAACAGAGAUAAUACAGAAAAAAUGCAAGCAGAGAUACAGGGAAAAAUAGAAGAAAUUGCAAAUUUGGAAAAGGAGUGUGAGAAACAUGAGGUGCAGUUAGAUUCUUUGGAGAAACACGUUAGUCAGCUGCAGGUCAUGUUAGAGGAAAAAGAACAGCUUAUCCUGCAAUAUAAAGAAAGAGAAACAAAGCUGGAAGAUCAAAUUUCAGAGAAUCAGGCAAAGCUGACAGCUGCUGAAAGUAAACUUGUGGAAGCCAGGAAGCAAUACGAUAUGAUGCUAGAAAGUAACCAGCUAGAGUUAUCUAGACAUUUGAAAGAGAUAUCUCAGAGGAAUGAUCAGGCGAUUAAUGAUAUACGGAGGAAGUACGACUUGGAGAAGCAGGAGAUUGUUAAACUGGAAAAGGAGAAGGCUGACAAAGUUGUUGAAGAAAUGGAACAGAAAUGUGACCAGAAGGUUGCAGAGUGCAAAGAGGAAUUAAGGCUGCAUUUAUUGCGCAUUCAAGAGGAAAAUGCUGCUUUAGUCACUUGUCUUCAGCAGGAGCAUGAUAGAAAGGAACUAAAUCUCAAAGCUGACAAUCAUGAGGAGUUAAAACGUGCCCAACUUCAGGCAGAAAAUGAAUUCAGAGAGAAAACAACAUCUCUUAGGAAUGAACAUGAAGUUCAGAUGAAAGCUCUGAGGUGUCUAUUUGAAGAUGAGUGCAGAAAGCUUCAAGAGGAGUUAAGUCUGCAGAAGUCCAAAGAGGACAGGCAGAGAGCUUUAUUACAACUGCAGUGGAAGGUGAUGGGUGACAAACCACAAGAGGAACAAGAAGUGAAUUCAAAAAAGGAUUAUUCCAUUUCUUCAAUCAAGAAGAGAGAUUCUGGUGUUAGCAAAAGAACUCAACAUGCUCUGGCAAGGCCAGAGAAUGGAGAGAAGGAAUCACCAUCACCCGGUGCAACACAAACACCAGUGUCAAAACUGUUGAAGAAAGUAGAAAAUGCAAACACAGGAAGUGUAAUGAGCAUUCCUAAGCAUCAUAAGAAGUUUUACCUUAUGGCAUGGCAGGUAACUCACCAUGAAUAUGAAGUUGAAACUUCCAAUGGAAGAACAAUUACAAAACGAAGAAAAACAAGGACAGUCUUGUUUGAGGAUCCAAGAAAACAUAAGAAAGUGCGUACACCAAAAGUCAAUACCCCUAGAAGUUUUGUCAAGGGAACUAAGGGAAGUCAUCCAAAUGCUUCAAACAUUGGUGAUUUGUUUUCAGAAGGUUCUCUAAAUCCUUAUGCAGAUGACCCAUAUGCAUUUGAUUAAAGGACCGAUGUACGUGAUAUUGAUACCCGAAAGGAGCCUUAAUUUUUCACAUUUAAAAAGAGCUUUUUCACGCGGUUCUCUGGAUGGGCAAUGGACAGCUAGACAUCGCAAUGGAGAUGCAUUCUAUCAUUCUUUUCUGUUUGCUAGAGGCAUGUGAUCAUAUGAUCUGAUUUUUGCAAUUUCAGUUGAGACCAUUUCAUUGCUACAAUCUGGCAUGUAAAGUGUUUUGUAGAUAAAGGACUGUCCGUAGUAUUUAGAACUUUUGUGCCGUGUGAUCAAGCACAAGUCCUGAUGAAAUCAGGUGACAGACUGACAGCCACAAGCUUUUAGCAAGUGUGGAGCUUGUUCAACUGAACGACCAAUUAAUGCUCCAUUUGUGAAGGGUUUUUUUUUUUUUUUUUGCCAUUAAAUACAAAUCUGAGAUGUUCUAGUUCACUUGACUGGGCGUAUAGAUUAAAAAAGCUGGGCAUACAGUAGGUUUACCAGAUUGAAAAGCCUAGAGCUACGAGUAUCAAACUGGUGAGAAUAGCUGACGGUUUGAGGGUUGAAGGUUUAUUGGAGCUUCUUGACUCUGAAAGCUUGGGUGUUGGUCUUCCAUCACCUCUAUGGUCAUCGAACCACAUUGACCUGAUGGCAAGUUUCAGACUCAAACCACCAUCCACCUCUGAAUCAGGAAAUCUGAUAGCAACAAAGAGAUGCGGUAGUAAUUACAUCUGUUAAGAAAAUUUAUGAAGAAAUACCAUUAGGAAAUUUGUAUGCACAGUUAUAGAGUCAAUCUCAAACCACAGUAUCAAGCAAUUAUGUUUGCAAGCACACCCCUUUAGAUACUUUCUGGCAGUCUUGCUACCUAAUUUUUCAUAGCACUGUAACUAAUGC
Molecule: non-coding RNA, 3711 nt
Organism: Durio zibethinus
Lineage: Eukaryota; Viridiplantae; Streptophyta; Magnoliopsida; Malvales; Malvaceae
Source: RefSeq, a predicted model, not a curated record